RNAcentral lists this ribosomal RNA (253 nucleotides) under uncultured bacterium. Its description in RNAcentral is "partial 16S ribosomal RNA". It matches the Rfam family "Bacterial small subunit ribosomal RNA", at positions 524 to 776 of the family's 1533-position model. The record is from RNAcentral.
UACGUAGGGGGCUAGCGUUGUCCGGAAUCAUUGGGCGUAAAGCGCGUGUAGGCGGUCCGGUAAGUCCGCUGUGAAAGUCGGGGGCUCAACCCUCGGAAGCCGGUGGAUACUGUCGGGCUAGAGUACGGAAGAGGCGAGUGGAAUUCCUGGUGUAGCGGUGAAAUGCGCAGAUAUCAGGAGGAACACCAAUUGCGAAGGCAGCUCGCUGGGACGUUACUGACGCUGAGACGCGAAAGCGUGGGGAGCAAACAGG